This 479-nucleotide ribosomal RNA is filed under the name uncultured bacterium. RNAcentral describes it as "partial 16S ribosomal RNA". It matches the Rfam family "Bacterial small subunit ribosomal RNA", at positions 28 to 507 of the family's 1533-position model. The record is from RNAcentral.
GAUGAACGCUAGCGGGAGGCCUAACACAUGCAAGCCGAGCGGUAGAGAUUCUUCGGAAUCUUGAGAGCGGCGUACGGGUGCGGAACACGUGUGCAACCUGCCUUUAUCAGGGGGAUAGCCUUUCGAAAGGAAGAUUAAUACCCCAUAAUAUAUUUGAUGGCAUCAUUAGAUAUUGAAAGCUUUGGCGGAUAGAGAUGGGCACGCGCAAGAUUAGAUAGUUGGUGAGGUAACGGCUCACCAAGUCGAUGAUCUUUAGGGGGCCUGAGAGGGUGAUCCCCCACACUGGUACUGAGGCACGGACCAGACUCCUACGGGAGGCAGCAGUGAGGAAUAUUGGACAAUGGGUUAGCGCCUGAUCCAGCCAUCCCGCGUGAAGAACGACGGCCCUAUGGGUUGUAAACUUCUUUUGUACAGGGAUAAACCUACUCUCGUGAGAGUAGCUGAAGGUACUGUACGAAUAAGCACCGGCUAACUCCGUG